AGUGAACGCUGGCGGUAGGCCUAACACAUGCCAGUCGAACGGCAGCACAGUAAGAGCUUGCUCUUACGGGUGGCGAGUGGCGGACGGGUGAGGAAUACAUCGGAAUCUACUUUUUCGUGGGGGAUAAUGUAGGGAAACUUACGCUAAUACCGCAUACGACCUACGGGUGAAAGCAGGGGAUCUUCGGACCUUGCGCGAUUGAAUGAGCCGAUGUCGGAUUAGCUAGUUGGCGGGGUAAAGGCCCACCAAGGCGACGAUCCGUAGCUGGUCUGAGAGGAUGAUCAGCCACACUGGAACUGAGACACGGUCCAGACUCCUACGGGAGGCAGCAGUGGGGAAUAUUGGACAAUGGGCGCAAGCCUGAUCCAGCCAUACCGCGUGGGUGAAGAAGGCCUUCGGGUUGUAAAGCCCUUUUGUUGGGAAAGAAAAGCAGCAGGUUAAUACCCCGCUGUUCUGACGGUACCCAAAGAAUAAGCACCGGCUAACUUCGUG
Molecule: ribosomal RNA, 492 nt
Filed under: uncultured bacterium
Lineage: Bacteria
Description: partial 16S ribosomal RNA
Rfam family: Bacterial small subunit ribosomal RNA
Source: RNAcentral